This 245-nucleotide ribosomal RNA is filed under the name uncultured bacterium. Its description in RNAcentral is "partial 16S ribosomal RNA". It matches the Rfam family "Bacterial small subunit ribosomal RNA", at positions 524 to 766 of the family's 1533-position model. The record is from RNAcentral.
UACGUAGGGGGCGAGCGUUGUCCGGAGUUACUGGGCGUAAAGGGCGCGUAGGCGGUUGGGUCAGUUUCCCAUGACAGUGCCUGGCUUAACUGGGCAAGGUUUGGCGAAAGACGGCUCGACUUGAGGGCCAGAGAGGGACAUAGAAUUCCGGGUGGAGUGGUGAAAUGCGUAGAUAUCCGGAGGAAUACCGAAGGCGAAGGCAGUGUCCUGGCUGGCAACUGACGCUGAGGCGCGAAAGCUAGGGG